This 494-nucleotide ribosomal RNA is filed under the name uncultured bacterium. Its description in RNAcentral is "partial 16S ribosomal RNA". It matches the Rfam family "Bacterial small subunit ribosomal RNA", at positions 30 to 507 of the family's 1533-position model. The record is from RNAcentral.
AUUGAACGCUGGCGGCAUGCUUUACACAUGCAAGUCGAACGGCAGCGGGGAGGAGCUUGCUUCUCUGCCGGCGAGUGGCGAACGGGUGAGUAAUACAUCGGAACGUGUCGAGAAGAGGGGGAUAACCACCCGAAAGGGUGGCUAAUACCGCAUAAAUUCUGAGGAAGAAAGCUGGGGACCUAGGAAUAGGCCUAGCGCUUUUUGAGCGGCCGAUGUCGGAUUAGCUAGUUGGUGAGGUAAAGGCUCACCAAGGCGAAGAUCUGUAGCGGGUCUGAGAGGAUGAUCCGCCACACUGGGACUGAGACACGGCCCAGACUCCUGCGGGAGGCAGCAGUGGGGAAUUUUGGACAAUGGGGGCAACCCUGAUCCAGCCAUGCCACGUGUAUGGAGAAGGCCUUAGGGUUGUAAAGUACUUUUGUUAGGGAAGAAAAGUCAGCUGUGAAUAAUAGCUGAUACUGACGGUACCUAAAGAAUAAGCACCGGCUAACUACGUG